RNAcentral lists this ribosomal RNA (519 nucleotides) under uncultured bacterium. Its description in RNAcentral is "bacterial SSU rRNA". It matches the Rfam family "Bacterial small subunit ribosomal RNA", at positions 371 to 885 of the family's 1533-position model. The record is from RNAcentral.
AUGGACGAAAGCUGACGGAUCACGCCGCGUGAGUGAUGAAGGUUUUCGGAUCGUAAAACUCUGUUGUUAGGGAAGAACAAUGCAUAGUAACUGAUGGCACCUUGACGGUACCUAACCAGAAAGCCACGGCUAACUACGUGCCAGCAGCCGCGGUAAUACGUAGGUGGCAAGCGUUGUCCGGAAUUAUUGGGCGUAAAGCGCUCGCAGGCGGUUCUUUAAGUCUGAUGUGAAAUCUUACGGCUCAACCGUAAACGUGCAUUGGAAACUGGGGAACUUGAGUGCAGAAGAGGAGAGUGGAAUUCCACGUGUAGCGGUGAAAUGCGUAGAGAUGUGGAGGAACACCAGUGGCGAAGGCGACUCUCUGGUCUGUAACUGACGCUGAGGAGCGAAAGCGUGGGGAGCGAACAGGAUUAGAUACCCUGGUAGUCCACGCCGUAAACGAUGAGUGCUAGGUGUUAGGGGGUUUCCGCCCCUUAGUGCUGAAGUUAACGCAUUAAGCACUCCGCCUGGGGAGUACGG